AGGACGAACGCUGGCGGCGUGCUUAACACAUGCAAGUCGAGCGGAAAGGCCCUUCGGGGUACUCGAGCGGCGAACGGGUGAAUAACACGUGAGUAAUCUGCCCCUAGCUCUGGGAUAGCUCCGGGAAACCGGGAUUAAUACCGGAUACGACCACCUUAGACAUCUUUUGUGGUGGAAAGAAUUUCGGCUAGGGAUGAGCUCGCGGCCUAUCAGCUUGUUGGUGGGGUAACGGCCUACCAAGGCGACGACGGGUA
RNAcentral lists this ribosomal RNA (254 nucleotides) under uncultured bacterium. Its description in RNAcentral is "partial small subunit ribosomal RNA". It matches the Rfam family "Bacterial small subunit ribosomal RNA", at positions 26 to 285 of the family's 1533-position model. The record is from RNAcentral.